RNAcentral lists this ribosomal RNA (252 nucleotides) under uncultured bacterium. RNAcentral's name for it is "partial 16S ribosomal RNA". It matches the Rfam family "Bacterial small subunit ribosomal RNA", at positions 524 to 776 of the family's 1533-position model. The record is from RNAcentral.
UACGUAGGGGCUAGCGUUGCUCGGAAUCACUGGGCGUAAAGCGCACGUAGGCGGAUACUUAAGUCAGGGGUGAAAUCCCGGGGCUCAACCCCGGAACUGCCUUUGAUACUGGGUAUCUCGAGUCCGGAAGAGGUGAGUGGAAUUCCGAGUGUAGAGGUGAAAUUCGUAGAUAUUCGGAAGAACACCAGUGGCGAAGGCGACUGACUGGACAAGUAUUGACGCUGAGGUACGAAAGCGUGGGGAGCAAACAGG